Small nucleolar RNA from Grammomys surdaster, 132 nucleotides. RefSeq annotates it as small nucleolar RNA SNORA17. NCBI's taxonomy places the organism in Eukaryota, Metazoa, Chordata, Mammalia, Rodentia, Muridae. The transcript has a single exon. The record is from RefSeq and is a predicted model, not a curated record.
CCUGCCCCUAGAGGCUUUGCAAGUGUGCCUGCUGUGUCACAUGUGUGUCAGUAGGUGGCAGGGAGGUGAAAGGCUAUGUCUAUGCUUAGUCUUCUGACCUGUGAACAUUCAAUUGAUUAGUAGCCAAAUAUU